GUCAAUUUAUAAUUGUAGAUACAUAUACUUACACUCAAAAUAGGACUUUGCAUAACCUCCCACAUCAAGAGCUAAAGACCUUUCUCUUUUUUUAGCCCAAAUUAUUUACUUUAUAUUUGCUUAAGAUGUUGAUAAUCUAUGCAAUUGAGUAUUUGUUGAACCCCACAAGUAUGUUGUGUUCAAAAAUGUAAGAAACUCCAUAGUAAUCAUUGCCUAUCAACUGUUUGCUAAAUUGUCUCAAAGAAGUUUUAAGCCAGGACAUUGACUUUCAUCAUCAGUCAUUUUCAUUUUUAACCCUUUUAUGCUGUGUGGACUGCAUAGAUGCAUUCAAGAUUUAGUUUUUAUGGGUUCCUACAACGACCUCAAGUUAAUACUAAGUUCACCCUUGAUGUAGAGCUUUGUUACUGAUUGAAUUCUUCGAUGUCGUUCGUGUUCUUGAGAAGACAACUAAUUAACUUGUCUUGUAUACUCAAUUCUCAGUGUAACUUAAGAAUAUGUUCAUAUUCCUCAAGACCCACAAGAGCUAAUCAAGCAAAUGAUUUUUUCGAGGAGGAUAGUAAACCACGUCCUGUUGCUGCAGAUUUUGGUGGUGGGGUUUUUCAUCUUUCGCCAUUGUAUAGGGAUGAGAAAUAUUCGUCGAAAGAUUGCAGGAUUGAACUAGUGGAUAAUGAGACUUGGAGUGUGUCCUCUGGCUUAGCUGAAGUGUGGAGAGGAAAUACAAAUGUUGCUUCGAAGAAAAAUUCUUCAUUUAGUCCAGAGGAAGAUGUUGAUGAUGCGGUGGCUAAUUAUAAUGAUGAAGAUCCUGAUUUUGACGAUAUUGAGGAUUUGAGGAUACGUGGUAACUUGUUUUACAAGCUUGAUAAAGAUUCCAAGGAAUAUGAAGAAUAUAAGUUCGAUUUCCAUAGAAGGAAUAAGAACAAGAACAAUGGAGAUGACUGUCCCAAAGAGAAGGAGAAAUCAAGUGACGUUUCAGCUUCUGGGAUCGAGAAAAGCCUAAAGGGUAUAUAUGAGAAGAAGCAAAGCAAGAAGGACAAACUGCUGUGUGACUCUGACUUUUCAGUGGACAGAGAUGAUACGAAUAACCUGCAGGAUUUUCAGCUAAAGAGGUCAAGAGUUCCAACUUUUAAUCAGCUUACUGCCCCUUAUCAUGAGCCGUUUUGUUUGGAUAUUUUUGUCUCGAAAGGUUCGGUCAGUGCUAGCAUCAUCCAUAGAGCUACUAGCAAGGUCGUUGCUGUGGCACAUUCUAUUUCCAAGGACAUGAAAUUUGACUUGGGAUCGACCAAGAAUAGAGCUACUUGUGCUGCUGUUGGGGAAGUUCUGGCUCAAAGAGCUUUGGCUGAUGAUAUUCAUAAUGUAAUUUAUACGCCAAGGACGCGGGAAAAAUUGGAGGGGAAACUUGAGAUUGUUCUUCAGUCCAUUAUUAACAAUGGCAUCAAUGUGAAGGUAAAGAUUAGGCAGAGGAAAACCAAGAAACAUGGCUUCCAACGCCCAACAGCUUAGGUGGCCAUCCUAUAUUACUAUUCAUCAAGGCAAGAAUGUUGUAAGUAUCAUCCUCAUGGCUUUCGAUGAAACUUGAUUUAGGAAAGUGAAUCAGGUCUUUUGCUGUAGAAAGUUGCUUAAUCGGCACACUGACGAGGAGUGGAAUCAUGCAAGAUUCAAUAGUCCAGUACUAGUAUUUUGACAAAUGCAGAUGCAAUUAAAAGUGACAAGUUUUAUCAAUCCUGACAAGCUUGCAAACAUAGUAGCAACUGGAACAAGGAAUCAAGCUAAGCUGCUGUGUGCUCAUACUUUGCUGAAGAAUGGGGUGUCCAAAAGAAAAUACUAGCUUAUGAGCAAAACAAUUUAUAGCAAUAAACCACACAUACUUUUGCAUUGAAUUCUUCAAAAAGUAGAACAUUUUUUGUAUCAGUUUUACAUCAGUCAAAAA
This is a non-coding RNA of Solanum lycopersicum (tomato), 1927 nucleotides long. The record is from RefSeq and is a predicted model, not a curated record. Lineage: Eukaryota; Viridiplantae; Streptophyta; Magnoliopsida; Solanales; Solanaceae.